This 691-nucleotide long non-coding RNA is filed under the name Struthio camelus australis. RNAcentral describes it as "lncRNA (ENSSCUG00000009030.1)". The record is from RNAcentral. Lineage: Eukaryota; Metazoa; Chordata; Aves; Struthioniformes; Struthionidae.
CUACAGUGCAGCCUACCAGUUACAGAUUAACUUAAAUGUUAAUUUGAGAGAUGUGAAAUGUUUGUCCCCAUUAUCUGAAGUUCAGCCAAACGAUGAUGAGCUGGAAUUCAAGUCACUUUAAGCUCUCUCACAAAAUUCCUGGUAUAAGUAAUUUAGCACAGUGGAAUACUAAAAACCAACCAACCAAACAAACAAAAAACAAAUCCUAGACCUUCUUUCCAGUCCUACUGAACUCAAAUGAAGAAAAGGACAUUGCUGGAACUGGAGCCUUACAACUUCACUCUGUCAAGGAACAGGGGAAAAAGAUGGUUAGAGCUACAGAGCAGAUCACUGGCUGAGCUGAUGAUCACACAGAGGUAUCAUUCUGAUAAGUCUUUCACCACCUGCUGAUUGUCUUCCUUCUGCUGGGUGUUCACAGGUAAAGAAACUGGCCCUUCCUUAUAAGAUACUGUAGUAAUGGUGGACACUUAUUCCCUAAAGGAAUUUUUACUUUGCAUCCCCUAUUUGCCGUUGAUCUAGGAUCUUUAUCUCAUCUAUGUAACGAGCUAAUUCUUUUCUUUUGUGAAAUAUAUGUUUGUGUUUAAAGUACAUUUCUUCUUUUUCGCUUGUAAACUUAGGCCACCAUGGUGACAAUAAUUCUAAUACUCCAGAUCUGAAUUAAUCAUGCUGAAGAUACUUUUAACCUAUUGUC